RNAcentral lists this ribosomal RNA (246 nucleotides) under uncultured bacterium. RNAcentral describes it as "partial 16S ribosomal RNA". It matches the Rfam family "Bacterial small subunit ribosomal RNA", at positions 86 to 334 of the family's 1533-position model. The record is from RNAcentral.
AGAUGGCGACCGGCGCACGGGUGAGUAACACGUAUCCAACCUGCCGAUAACUCGGGGAUAGCCUUUCGAAAGAAAGAUUAAUACCCAUGGUAUAAUCAGACCGCAUGGUUUGAUUAUUAAAGAAUUUCGGUUAUCGAUGGGGAUGCGUUCCAUUAGGCAGUUGGUGAGGUAACGGCUCACCAAACCUUCGAUGGAUAGGGGUUCUGAGAGGAAGGUCCCCCACAUUGGAACUGAGACACGGUCCAA